Molecule: ribosomal RNA, 301 nt
Filed under: uncultured bacterium
Lineage: Bacteria
Description: partial 16S ribosomal RNA
Rfam family: Bacterial small subunit ribosomal RNA
Source: RNAcentral
CAGCCGCCGCGGUAAUACGUAGGUGGCAAGCGUUGUCCGGAAUUAUUGGGCGUAAAGGGCUCGCAGGCGGUUUCUUAAGUCUGAUGUGAAAGCCCCCGGCUCAACCGGGGAGGGUCAUUGGAAACUGGGAAACUUGAGUGCAGAAGAGGAGAGUGGAAUUCCACGUGUAGCGGUGAAAUGCGUAGAGAUGUGGAGGAACACAGUGGCGAAGGCGACUCUCUGGUCUGUAACUGACGCUGAGGAGCGAAAGCGUGGGGAGCGAACAGGAUUAGAUACCCGCGUAGUCCCUGUCUCUUAUACC